GCCCGGGUGGUGGAAUGGCAGACACUCAGGACUUAAAAUCCUGUGACCAGAAAUGGUCGUGCGGGUUCGACUCCCGCCCCGGGCA
Molecule: transfer RNA, 85 nt
Filed under: Phycisphaerae bacterium
Lineage: Bacteria; Pseudomonadati; Planctomycetota; Phycisphaerae
Description: tRNA-Leu
Rfam family: tRNA
About the family: Transfer RNA (tRNA) molecules are approximately 80 nucleotides in length. Their secondary structure includes four short double-helical elements and three loops (D, anti-codon, and T loops).
Source: RNAcentral